RNAcentral lists this ribosomal RNA (253 nucleotides) under uncultured bacterium. Its description in RNAcentral is "partial 16S ribosomal RNA". It matches the Rfam family "Bacterial small subunit ribosomal RNA", at positions 524 to 776 of the family's 1533-position model. The record is from RNAcentral.
UACGUAGGGGGCAAGCGUUGUCCGGAAUCAUUGGGCGUAAAGAGCGUGUAGGCGGCCAGACAGGUCAGCUGUGAAAACUCGAGGCUCAACCUCGAGACGUCGGUUGAAACCGUCUGGCUAGAGUCCGGAAGAGGAGAGUGGAAUUCCCGGUGUAGCGGUGAAAUGCGCAGAUAUCGGGAAGAACACCCGUGGCGAAGGCGGCUCUCUGGGACGGUACUGACGCUGAGACGCGAAAGCGUGGGGAGCGAACAGG